RNAcentral lists this ribosomal RNA (709 nucleotides) under Arthrobacter sp. SMCC G962. RNAcentral's name for it is "bacterial SSU rRNA". It matches the Rfam family "Bacterial small subunit ribosomal RNA", at positions 24 to 745 of the family's 1533-position model. The record is from RNAcentral. Lineage: Bacteria; Bacillati; Actinomycetota; Actinomycetes; Micrococcales; Micrococcaceae.
UCAGGAUGAACGCUGGCGGCGUGCUUAACACAUGCAAGUCGAACGAUGAUCCCCAGCUUGCUGGGGGGAUUAGUGGCGAACGGGUGAGUAACACGUGAGUAACCUGCCCUUAACUCUGGGAUAAGCCUGGGAAACUGGGUCUAAUACCGGAUAUGACUCCUCAUCGCAUGGUGGGGGGUGGAAAGCUUUUUUGUGGUUUUGGAUGGACUCGCGGCCUAUCAGCUUGUUGGUGAGGUAAUGGCUUACCAAGGCGACGACGGGUAGCCGGCCUGAGAGGGUGACCGGCCACACUGGGACUGAGACACGGCCCAGACUCCUACGGGAGGCAGCAGUGGGGAAUAUUGCACAAUGGGCGCAAGCCUGAUGCAGCGACGCCGCGUGAGGGAUGACGGCCUUCGGGUUGUAAACCUCUUUCAGUAGGGAAGAAGCGAAAGUGACGGUACCUGCAGAAGAAGCGCCGGCUAACUACGUGCCAGCAGCCGCGGUAAUACGUAGGGCGCAAGCGUUAUCCGGAAUUAUUGGGCGUAAAGAGCUCGUAGGCGGUUUGUCGCGUCUGCCGUGAAAGUCCGGGGCUCAACUCCGGAUCUGCGGUGGGUACGGGCAGACUAGAGUGAUGUAGGGGAGACUGGAAUUCCUGGUGUAGCGGUGAAAUGCGCAGAUAUCAGGAGGAACACCGAUGGCGAAGGCAGGUCUCUGGGCAUUAACUACG